RNAcentral lists this antisense RNA (502 nucleotides) under Streptomyces albireticuli. Its description in RNAcentral is "Saccharopolyspora sRNA 350". It matches the Rfam family "Saccharopolyspora sRNA 350". The record is from Rfam by way of RNAcentral. Lineage: Bacteria; Bacillati; Actinomycetota; Actinomycetes; Kitasatosporales; Streptomycetaceae.
GUGAACGCCCAGGUGCCGUCCGGCUCCAGCGGCACCGUCUCGCCGAAGUAGUCCCCGUCGGCCAGCACGCCGAGCACGGUCUCGUCGCCGUACUUGCCGGGGCCGGUGCGGUUGAGCUUGCCGUGGGCGAUCAGGUAGAUGUGAUCGGCCGGGGCGCCCACCUCGACGAGCGUGUCGCCCGCCGCGUACUCGCGCUGGACGAAGCCGUCCGCCAGUGCCUCCAGCGCGGUGUUGUCGUCGAAGCCCCGCAGGAGGGGCAGUUCGCCCAGCUCCGGCGGGAUGACCCGCACCUCCGUGCCGGUCGAGAUGAACUCGACCCGGCCGUCCCCGACGGUGUAGGUCAGUCGCCUGUUCACCCGGUACGUGCCCGCGGACACCUGCACCCACGGCAGCACCCGCAGCAGCCAGCGGGAGGAGAUCCCCUGCAUCUGCGGUACGGACUUCGUCGUGGUGGCGAGCUGCCGUGCUGCGGCUGUGCCCAGGCUCAGCUGGGACUCGCCCG